This 2250-nucleotide long non-coding RNA is filed under the name Nilaparvata lugens (brown planthopper). RNAcentral describes it as "uncharacterized LOC120351269". Lineage: Eukaryota; Metazoa; Arthropoda; Insecta; Hemiptera; Delphacidae. The record is from RNAcentral.
UUGGUUGGGCGACGAACUGGUUGUUGAUACAGAUGGCUGCGGCUGAGUGACGUCUUCGCUUCUGUUUAUGUUUUGUUCUGGUGUUGUAGUUGAGUCGACUGAUUUAUUUGGAAUAAAUGAACUCCCCUCAUUAUAAUUUCUCCGAUGAUUAUCUCCAAAUCCACGGCUAUUAUUUUGAGGUCGACUCGGUUGACUGCCUCGAUUAUAAUUACGAUGAGGAGUUUCAACUUCAUUCACGACAACACCUAACCGCUCAUCCUUCUGAUGGUUUGUUUUGAAAUUCCGUGAACCAAAUUUAUCGUCUACACUCUGUACUCGACUCAAACAAGCCUCAAACUUGUCAUAGGAUUCAAAACUUUGCGAGCUUAAUGCCGUCUGAAUGGAAUAAGCAGCAGUGGUCUUGAAAACUUCAAGUAUGGUUUCGAUCGUCCCAGGUGUAGAUAUGGCAGCCCCUGCGGCUGUUUGGUCUCCAACUCAGCAGCAACGACAUCAUUGGAAGACGUUUGACGAUCUACCUCGCGCCGAUCGACGUUGGCGAUUGGUGAUGAUUGCACCGAAUUAAAUGUUGGCUGACUUUCCUCUAGCUGAGUCGAUGACAAACGCUCUCGAAUGCCGCGCUCAAAGUCAACUGAAGUCGCGCUGGUUGCCGGUUUUGGAGAAGCUUCGGGUGAGACAGGAUCUGCCGGUGUAACAAUGUGGUAGACCCAUCCAGUUCCGUGGCGGGGUUUGCCAUGAUUCUCCCAAAAAGUGAAGUGUAGACGAAAUCCAAUAAGUGAAAAAUAGUGAGUGAAUGAUAGUGGUGCGCGCAAAUUGGAAUAACAGAAUCAGGUCAGUGCAAAUUAUCUUGUAGUUCUGAAGAAUUAAUACCGCUGACUAAUUCCCACAACUUCAAAGCAAGACAAAAUCGCGACAAUAAUACGUUUUAGAAUACAAUAAUACUCUACAAUAUAUAUACCGUAAUGAUCAACAUAAAAUUCAACACAAUCAAAAUAAUAUCCAGUGUAUGAACAAUCACAAAUUAAUAAAUAAAUCGACUACCUCAAGCUUGUUCAUUUCAGGGAUUAAUACAUCAGAGUAACACCGUGUAGCCCCCAUUAGUGCAACAAAAAAUACCUGCUCAAUUCGAUCAAUAAUUAUUAAGAAAUAAAAUUGAACAACAAUAUUGAACAGAGUAUUGAUGGCUAGGCGACCCACGACUCCACUGAAAAGAAAUAUUUAUAUUUCUGCUCCCUCUCAAGCGUAGAUAAGUCGAUCUCUGAAAUAAAUUUAUGAUUAUUAAGAUGAAAUAAGCUCCCUCUCCUUCACCAUCUUGUGUUCGGGCGCCAAUCUUGUGGAUUCGCAAGAGCCUCUGGACGCUUAACACCUGUAAUUCGGAUAAAAAAAUCAGCCGGCAGAGCUGCCUACACCCGUCCAGAAUAUCCUACAAUUCCACAAGAAAUAAUAUUUCUGCCGUACUCUGAUAUAAACCGCCUGAGAAUCAGGCGUGAUAGCCUACCAAUAUCUCCAGGCAAUUCAAACCCGAGCACAGCAAAUGUAAUUUAUUUCUUAUGAAUAACAAGUAAAUUCAAUAUUGAUAUUCCAAUACCUGAAAUAAUUCCUACAGAGAAAAAACCAAUAUGGUAAUUAUAGACCGAACUGAGCAGGAUCUAAUUAGAGAAAUUACUGAAACUGGUUAACAAUUAUGCAAAUUUAUUGAUGAAUUAUAAUCGUUAAGAAUCAAAUAAUAAUAAUUAAUUAAAUAAUUGACAAAUUGGAAUAAUAGAGUUUUCAAAAUUUGGUAAUAAAUGUUCUUGAUAUGAGAUAAUAAUAUGAAUGUUCUUGGUAAUAUAGUGCAAUUAGGAUUUUAAUAGGGGUUACACGGUAUUAUAGGAGGAUAUAGUCCUGCACUCUUUCACAAUAAUUAAUUGAUAGAAAAUUGUAGCUUUCUCAAUUCACUGAUUGGAUAGAAUAAAUAUUUUUCGCUCACCAACUCGAUCGUGGGGCCCCAAUUCACUUAAUAAUUUUAUUUCACUUGAAGAUCUGGCGUGGAAUGGCGUCACCCAGGAUUUAGUUUCACAAUUCUUCCUCAGGAAUAAGCUUAUACAAAUUGAACUUGCCUUCCAAUUAAUUUAAGAGCACAAGACUACAGAGGAGCUACACAUUUAACACACUGGAUAUAUUACAUUUAACAAGAAGAGAAACCAUUUAAACAUUAAUUUUAAUAGGACAAAUUAAACGGGUCCUGAUAAUUCGAUUCUCAGAAGGCAAGUG